GAUGAACGCUGGCGGCGUGCCUAACACAUGCAAGUCGAGCGAACCCUUCGGGGUGAGCGGCGGACGGGUGAGUAACGCGUGGGUAACCUGCCCUAUACACACGGAUAACGUACCGAAAGGUACGCUAAUACGGGAUAAAGUUGUUGGAUGGCAUCUUCUAACAAUCAAAGCUCCGGCGGUAUAGGAUGGACCCGCGUCUGAUUAGCUAGUUGGUGAGGUAAUGGCUCACCAAGGCGACGAUCAGUAGCCGACCUGAGAGGGUGAUCGGCCACACUGGAACUGAGACACGGUCCAGACUCCUACGGGAGGCAGCAGUGGGGAAUAUUGCACAAUGGGCGAAAGCCUGAUGUAGCAACGCCGCGUGAGCGAUGAAGGUCUUCGGAUCGUAAAGCUCUGUCCUCAAGGAAGAUAAUGAUGGUACUUGAGGAGGAAGCCCCGGCUAACUACGUGCCAGCCGCCGCGGUAA
Molecule: ribosomal RNA, 466 nt
Filed under: uncultured bacterium
Lineage: Bacteria
Description: partial 16S ribosomal RNA
Rfam family: Bacterial small subunit ribosomal RNA
Source: RNAcentral